UGGAUUUUUGGGGGCAGGCCGAGAGACCGAUCCCAUGUCGGGGAGACCGGUCCCUCAGUCCGAAAACUGCCCAGUCCGGGUUGAUGCAAUAUUGGGAAUUUGAGGGGCCUCUUUGGAUUUUGUUACUUUAGAUGGCCUAAAUAGCCAUUCCACCCUCUCCCUUCCUCAUUUCUCUUCUCUCAACCGUCCCCACACCUUUGUUAGAGAGAGAAGAAGGAGGAGAAGAAGAAGGAGAAGUUGGAGAGCAAGCUUGAGGGAGCUUUGGAGCAUCUUCCUCUUUCCCAUUUCUCACUUUUGGAGGCUUGGAGCUUGGACUUGGAGCCUUGUGGUGGAUUAAUCUUCAACCUUUAAGCAUUUUGAGCUUGGUUUAGAUCUCCUCUUGAGGUUAGUUGCUUAUUUCUCCCCUCUAGACCUAUUUUUGAUAGAUUUUGGGAGAUGAAACCCUAGAUUUGAAUUUUAGGGUUGAUUUUGGGGCUUUUUGAUUUAGGGCUUUUGGAGCUCAAUCUCUUGGAUUAGA
This 517-nucleotide long non-coding RNA is filed under the name Ananas comosus (pineapple). RNAcentral describes it as "long non-coding RNA (ACOM_LNC037385)". Lineage: Eukaryota; Viridiplantae; Streptophyta; Magnoliopsida; Poales; Bromeliaceae. The record is from RNAcentral.